AUUGAACGCUGGCGGCAUGCCUUACACAUGCAAGUCGAACGGUAACAGGUUAAGCUGACGAGUGGCGAACGGGUGAGUAAUAUAUCGGAACGUGCCCAGUCGUGGGGGAUAACUGCUCGAAAGAGCAGCUAAUACCGCAUACGACCUGAGGGUGAAAGCGGGGGAUCGCAAGACCUCGCGCGAUUGGAGCGGCCGAUAUCAGAUUAGGUAGUUGGUGGGGUAAAGGCCCACCAAGCCAACGAUCUGUAGCUGGUCUGAGAGGACGACCAGCCACACUGGGACUGAGACACGGCCCAGACUCCUACGGGAGGCAGCAGUGGGGAAUUUUGGACAAUGGGCGCAAGCCUGAUCCAGCCAUGCCGCGUGCGGGAAGAAGGCCUUCGGGUUGUAAACCGCUUUUGUCAGGGAAGAAAAGGUUCUGGUUAAUACCUGGGACUCAUGACGGUACCUGAAGAAUAAGCACCGGCUAACUACGUGCCAGCAGCCGCGGUAAUACGUAGGGUGCAAGCGUUAAUCGGAAUUACUGGGCGUAAAGCGUGCGCAGGCGGUUAUGCAAGACAGAGGUGAAAUCCCCGGGCUCAACCUGGGAAC
RNAcentral lists this ribosomal RNA (591 nucleotides) under uncultured bacterium. RNAcentral describes it as "bacterial SSU rRNA". It matches the Rfam family "Bacterial small subunit ribosomal RNA", at positions 28 to 621 of the family's 1533-position model. The record is from RNAcentral.